Molecule: ribosomal RNA, 164 nt
Filed under: uncultured bacterium
Lineage: Bacteria
Description: partial 16S rRNA
Rfam family: Bacterial small subunit ribosomal RNA
Source: RNAcentral
UAGGGAAUCUUCCACAAUGGGCGAAAGCCUGAUGGAGCAACGCCGCGUGUGUGAUGAAGGGUUUCGGCUCGUAAAACACUGUUGUAAGAGAAGAAUGACAUUGAGAGUAACUGUUCAAUGUGUGACGGUAUCUUACCAGCAAGGAACGGCUAAAUACGUGCCCG